CGACAUAGAGAAAUCCCAUUCGGCUAAGUUGUUCGAGUGAAAAGCUGAAAUCGGCGAAAUUAUUAUGCCCUGGGGGCAUACUAAUUGUUCAACACAUUCGGCAGCUGAAAGUGGAAAAAAUUUCUCCAAGUUAAAAAUAUUUGGAGAAAAUUCUUUAUUCGGCCAAGAGCGAAAUCAAUUUGAAAAUUUUGAUGUAAAAAGAUCUCGGCUUGGAAUAAAGCAUCGUUGGCCUCCUCCUGAUUAUGGUUUAGCAACUUUUAUUUCCGUUUGCUAAAAAAUCAAAUAAAAAAAAAUUGAAUAAAUUAUUUUCUUAAUCAUUCGGCCUUUUAGGCCGAUGCAUAAGAAAAUAAGGGGGCAAUAGGUGGUAUAUCAACAGUUUGAAAUCGGCGAUGGCUGUCCACAUAUGAUUGUUUCUUAGGGACAA
RNAcentral lists this long non-coding RNA (424 nucleotides) under Malus domestica (apple). RNAcentral describes it as "long non-coding RNA (MDOM_LNC013913)". Lineage: Eukaryota; Viridiplantae; Streptophyta; Magnoliopsida; Rosales; Rosaceae. The record is from RNAcentral.